CUUUUUAGGGCCAUGUCCGAAACAUAUGGAGGUUUCCAGGCUAGGGGUAGAAUCAGAGCUGUAGCUGCCCGCCUACACCACAGCCACAGCACCUUGGGAUCUGAACCUCAUCUGUGAUCUACACCACAGCUCACAGCAGUGCCAGAUCCUUAUCCCACUGAGCAAGGCCAGGUGUCGAACCUGCAUCCUCAUGGAUACUAGUCAGGUUCAUUAACCACUGAGCCACGACAGGAACUCCAUCAUUUGUAAUACAUCUAUCAUAGCCUUUCUUCCUUUCCUUCUCCUAAACAGUUUGUUGAUGCUACAGCAACAGUUCUCAAGUUUUUGUGAUUAGAGCACCAUCCAAAUAUGUUCAUAAUUUGAAUACUUUUUACCACCUUCAUGAAUAUCCUAGUCCAAGCCACAUAUGAAUUAUGACACCAGUUUUCUAAGUACUCCCUUAGCUUAUACCUUUUCCAAAGCAGCCACUCUGAUCCUUUUAAACAGUAAUUCAUGUUAUCCUUGCCGAAAAUGUAUAACUGCAAUCUAACCAAGAGAAAAAUAAUCAUCCAAGUCCAAAUUGAGACCCCCUACAAAGUAACAGAUUAGUACUCAUGAAAAGUCAAUGAUUUCAGGGAACACAAGAAAAGACUGCAGAACUGUCAUGGACAGGAGGAAACUAAGGAGAACAACGAAACGCAAUGUGAUAUUUUGGGUUGUAUGCCGAAACAGAAAAACAGGGUGGGAUUUCAAAAUAUAGUGUUUUAAAGUACCUCAAAAGAAAGAAAAACAUAAGUCAAGUGAGUGUCUUUUCUACUUGAAACCCUCACCUGGCUUUCUUUCCAUCUUAAUUAGAUCACAGUUUCCAAACAGACCUAUUUCCUCUUAAAAAGUAAAAUUUUCCUGGAACACAAUCCCAUCCUUUCAUUUACAUAUUGUUUCUGGCUGUUUGGGGGCUACAACAGCAGAGUUGAACAGCUACAACAGAGACUGCAUGGCCUGCAAAGGGUAAAAUAUGUGUCAUGUGGCCCUUUACAAAAAACCCAAAAACAAAAGCCUUUGCCAGUCCCCUGACUGAGGGCAAAGGCAAAGUUCUCACAAUGGCCUUCGGUGCCGAAGUGAUUGGGCCCAACCCACUCCUUCUCUGCAAGUCUCCUACUGCUGUGGCCCUCACCUUUUCUGCUUCAGCCACUCUGGCCUCUACUCGCUGUUUCACAAAAUGUGCCAAGCCAUGCUGUCGCCAUAGGGCCUUUGCACACACUGUGACUCUGCUUAGACUGUCCAACUCUUGCAUCCUGCAGGGCUUUGUCCAAGUAUCUAAUAAACCACCCCUUGGCAAUACUGUUCUCCCUUUCUUUCUUUCUUUCUUUUUUUUUUUUUUUAGGGCCAAACCCAUGGCAUAUGGAGGUUCCCAUGCUAGGGGUCUAAUUGGCGCUGUAGCUGCUGGCCUACACCACAGCCACAACCAAAAAAAAAAAAAUUUACUCUUUCCUUAUAUCUUUUGAGGAGAUUAAAAGAAGCAAAUACAAUAAAGAAAGGUAAUAUUUCUUAUUCACAUGAUACUUUGACUGUUUUUUUGGCCACAUCCACAGCAUGCAUAAGUUCUGGGGCCAGGGAUCGAACCCACACCACAGCAGUGACAACGGUGGAUCCUUAACCUGCUAAGCCACCAGGUAGCACCUUAACUUUUAAAAUAAUAAUGUGGUUGCAUCUUGGAAGUGCGGAGAAGGGGUAGAGAGAAUAAAGAGACGAUGAAACCCCAACAGAGUCUAAACCUUUCUCAGGUUUUGAAACUCCCAAAGAUGGAGUUCCUGCCAUGGUGCAGUGGAUUAAAAAUCUGUGGGUUUGGGAUGGAAAUGUUCUAAAAUUAGGUUGUGCUGAUGGUUGUACAACUAUAAAGAUAAUACAAUUCACUGAAUUAAGAAAAGAACAUGGACAACAGACUUGGGGUUGCCAAGGGGGAGGGGGAGGGAGUGGGAUGGACUAGGAAUUUGGGGUUAAUAGAUGCAAACUAUUGCCUUUGGAAUUGAUAAGCAAUGGGAUCCUGCUGUAUAGCACAGAGAACUAUAUCUAGUCACUUAUGAUGAAGGAUAAUGUGAGAAAAAAAGAAUGUAUACAAGUAUGUGUGACAGGGUCACCUUGUUGUACAGUAGAAAAUUGACAAAACACUGUAAACCAGCUAUAAUGGAAAAAAUAAAAAUCAUUAUUAAAAAAAAAAA
This 2198-nucleotide long non-coding RNA is filed under the name Sus scrofa (pig). RNAcentral's name for it is "lncRNA (ENSSSCG00015038900.1)". Lineage: Eukaryota; Metazoa; Chordata; Mammalia; Artiodactyla; Suidae. The record is from RNAcentral.